This 464-nucleotide ribosomal RNA is filed under the name uncultured bacterium. RNAcentral describes it as "partial 16S ribosomal RNA". It matches the Rfam family "Bacterial small subunit ribosomal RNA", at positions 339 to 795 of the family's 1533-position model. The record is from RNAcentral.
CUACGGGGCGCAGCAGUGGGGAAUAUUGCACAAUGGGCGCAAGCCUGAUGCAGCCAUGCCGCGUGUAUGAAGAAGGCCUUCGGGUUGUAAAGUACUUUCAGCGGGGAGGAAGGGAGUAAAGUUAAUACCUUUGCUCAUUGACGUUACCCGCAGAAGAAGCACCGGCUAACUCCGUGCCAGCAGCCGCGGUAAUACGGAGGGUGCAAGCGUUAAUCGGAAUUACUGGGCGUAAAGCGCACGCAGGCGGUUUGUUAAGUCAGAUGUGAAAUCCCCGGGCUCAACCUGGGAACUGCAUCUGAUACUGGCAAGCUUGAGUCUCGUAGAGGGGGGUAGAAUGCCAGGUGUAGCGGUGAAAUGCGUAGAGAUCUGGAGGAAUACCGGUGGCGAAGGCGGCCCCCUGGACGAAGACUGACGCUCAGGUGCGAAAGCGUGGGGAGCAAACAGGAUUAGAUACCCGCGUAGUC